This 464-nucleotide ribosomal RNA is filed under the name uncultured bacterium. Its description in RNAcentral is "partial 16S ribosomal RNA". It matches the Rfam family "Bacterial small subunit ribosomal RNA", at positions 339 to 795 of the family's 1533-position model. The record is from RNAcentral.
CUACGGGUCGCUGCAGUGGGGAAUAUUGCACAAUGGGCGCAAGCCUGAUGCAGCCAUGCCGCGUGUAUGAAGAAGGCCUUCGGGUUGUAAAGUACUUUCAGCGGGGAGGAAGGGAGUAAAGUUAAUACCUUUGCUCAUUGACGUUACCCGCAGAAGAAGCACCGGCUAACUCCGUGCCAGCAGCCGCGGUAAUACGGAGGGUGCAAGCGUUAAUCGGAAUUACUGGGCGUAAAGCGCACGCAGGCGGUUUGUUAAGUCAGAUGUGAAAUCCCCGGGCUCAACCUGGGAACUGAAUCUGAUACUGGCAAGCUAGAGUCUCGGAGAGGGGGGUAGAAUUCCAGGUGUAGCGGUGAAAUGCGUAGAGAUCUGGAGGAAUACCGGUGGCGAAGGCGGCCCCCUGGACGAAGACUGACGCUCAGGUGCGAAAGCGUGGGGAGCAAACAGGAUUAGAUACCCGCGUAGUC